CCUACGGGUGGCAGCAGUGGGGAAUAUUGCGCAAUGGGCGAAAGCCUGACGCAGCGAAGCCGCGUGAGGGAUGAAGGCCUUCGGGUUGUAAACCUCUGUCAGCAGGGAAGAACGGUCUAUGUGCUAAUCACCCGUGAAUUGACGUUACCCGCAAAGGAAGCACCGGCUAACUCCGUGCCAGCAGCCGCGGUAAUACGGAGGGUGCGAGCGUUAAUCGGAAUUACUGGGCGUAAAGCGCUCGGAGGCGGUAUGUCAAGUCAAGGGUGAAAUGCCCGGGCUCAACGUGGGAACUGCCGUUGAGACUGGCAGGCUGGAGUGUGUGAGAGGAGGGUGGAAUUCCAGGUGUAGGGGUGAAAUGCGUAGAUAUCUGGAGGAACAUCGGUGGCGAAGGCGGCUAACUGGAACAUAACUGACGCUGAGGAGCGAAAGCGUGGGUAGCAAACAGGAUUAGAUACCCGAGUAGUC
RNAcentral lists this ribosomal RNA (465 nucleotides) under uncultured bacterium. RNAcentral's name for it is "partial 16S ribosomal RNA". It matches the Rfam family "Bacterial small subunit ribosomal RNA", at positions 338 to 795 of the family's 1533-position model. The record is from RNAcentral.